GUCGUAACAAGGUUUCCGUAGGUGAACCGGCGGAAGGAUCAUUA
This 44-nucleotide ribosomal RNA is filed under the name Phlebia acerina. RNAcentral's name for it is "partial 18S ribosomal RNA". It matches the Rfam family "Eukaryotic small subunit ribosomal RNA", at positions 1788 to 1831 of the family's 1831-position model. Lineage: Eukaryota; Fungi; Basidiomycota; Agaricomycetes; Polyporales; Meruliaceae. The record is from RNAcentral.